UUUUAUUCCAACCAAUCAGAAAGCUGCUAAGAUCUAACGGCGCGCUACGGCGAGGUGAGUUUGUGCGCAUCACAGUGCGCAUGGUAUUAGUCUACAGUUGAAAAUUGUGGUGACAGGACGUGUUUCGCCGGCAGAAAAUUAAAUAUCGUUGUGAUAAAUUAUCGUAUGUUUAAAGUUCGAAGAUGGAAUGGCUUCGAAAGUAUAAAAGUUUUUACACACACAAACAUGUUAAAGAAAUAAUUGGACGACUUUCAUACAAAUAUGAUAAAUAGCUGAUUGCUGAAAUUACUUUAGGCGGGAAGAAGGAUUUUCAAUAUGGACGCCAUGAUGACAAUUUAUAUUUUAUAUAAAGAAAGAAGAGGUAAAAUUUAAAUUUUGGAAGAUAUAUGUAAGUACUUUUAUAUUUUUUUUAUUAAAUUAUUAAUUCCAUAAU
This is a long non-coding RNA of Apis dorsata (giant honeybee), 433 nucleotides long. RefSeq lists it as uncharacterized. The record is from RefSeq and is a predicted model, not a curated record. The transcript is spliced from 3 exons. Lineage: Eukaryota; Metazoa; Arthropoda; Insecta; Hymenoptera; Apidae.